UCAAGCGAACAAGGGCGCAGGGCGAAUGCCUUGGCACUGGGAGCCGAUGAAAGACGUGAUAAGCUGCGAUAAGCUUCGGGGAGCUGCAAAUAAGCAUUGAUCCGGAGAUUUCUGAAUGAGGAAACUCACCUGGGUUCAUACUCAGGUACGUUAUACUGAACUUAAAAAUAGGUAUAUCGAGGGAACCGCCUGAACUGAAACAUCUAAGUAGGGCGAGGAAGAGACAUCAAACGAGAUUCCGUAAGUAGUGGCGAGCGAACGCGGAAGAGGGCAAACCGGAAGUAGAAAUACUUCCGGGGUACGGACCGCAUUUAGGACUUGAGUUGUUAACCGAACGGCAUGGGAAGGCCGGUCAGAGAGUGUGAGAACCACGUAGGUGAAAACGACAAGAGCUGAGCGAGUUCCAGAGUACGGCCAGACACGUGAAACCUGGUCGGAAUAUGGGGGGACCACCCUCCAACCCUAAAUACUACCCAGUGACCGAUAGCGUAUAGUACUGUGAAGGAAAGGUGAAAAGCACCCCGGGAGGGGAGUGAAAAAGAACCUGAAACCCUGUGCCUACAAGCACCUAGAGCACGUCAAUGUGUGAUAGGGUACUUUUUGUAGAACGGUCCGGCGAGCGAUUGUAUGCAGCAAGGUUAAGGACUUAAGGUCUGGAGCCGAAGCGAAAGCGAGUUUGAAAAGGGCGUUAAGUUGCAUACAAUGGGCCCGAAACCGGGUGACCUACCCAUGGUCAGGUUGAAGUGGAAGUAAAAUUCCAUGGAGGACCGAACCGACCUCCGUUGAAAAGGCGGCGGAUGAACUGUGGGUAGCGGAGAAAUUCCAAUCGAACCCGGAGAUAGCUGGUUCUCCCCGAAAUAGUUUUAGGACUAGCCUCAAGUUAGAUACCUGGAGGUAAAGCACUGAAUAGCCUAGCGGCCGAGAGGUUAGCGAAGCUUAUCAAACUCAGAAUGCCAGAGUAUUGAUGCUUGGGAGUCAGACAGUGUCAGAUAAAUGUCAUUGUCAAAAGGGAAACAGCCCAGAUCUACAGCUAAGGUCCCAAAGUCAGGUUAAGUGGAAAACGAUGUGAAGAUACGUAGACAACCAGGAUGUUGGCUCAGAAGCAGCCACACAUUCAAAGAGUGCGUAAUAGCUCACUGGUCGAGCGUCUUUGCGCGGAGAAUUUAACGGGGCUAAACCUGACACCGAAGCUUAGGCAAUACAGCAAUGUAUUGGGUAGGGGAGCGUUGUAUACGCGGUGAAACAGUAGCGCAAGCGGCUGUGGAGUGUAUAGAAGUGAGAAUGCCGGAAUGAGUAGCGCGAAUGCAGUGAGAAUCUGCAUGGCCGAAAGCCUCAGGUUUCUGGAGGAAGGUUCGUCCGCUCCAGGUUAGUCGGGAGCUAAGGUGAGGCCUAACGGCGUAGCCGAUGCACAGACGGUAGAGAUUCCGUCACCACCAAAAGAGUUAAACACAGGGACACAUUUGAAGUCUCGGAGCCGGGUGUUGGUUCCGGUAGCGAUCGAGGGAAGUUAGUACCGAAGUCCGGGAUGGAAGAUGGCGAGAAAAGCUGUGUGUAUUUCUGCGGUGCCCGUACCGCAAACCGACACAGGUAGGUAGGAAGAAGAUUCUAAGGCCAACGGGAGAAGGGUUGUUAAGGAACUCGGCAAAUUGACCCCGUAACUUCGGGAGAAGGGGUGCUCCAGAGAUGGAGCCGCAGAGAAUCGGCCCAAGCAACUGUUUACCAAAAACACAGGUUUGUGCUAAAUCGAAAGAUGACGUAUACGAGCUGACGCCUGCCCGGUGCUGGAAGGUUAAGAGGAGAUGUGCAAGCAUUGAAUCGAAGCCCCAGUGAACGGCGGCCGUAACUAUAACGGUCCUAAGGUAGCGAAAUUCCUUGUCAGGUAAGUUCUGACCCGCAUGAAAGGCGUAAUGAUUUGGGCACUGUCUCGACAGCCCGCCCGGCGAAAUUGUAGUACCGGUGAAGAUGCCGGUUACCCGCGACAAGACGGAAAGACCCCAUGGAGCUUUACUGUAGCCUAAUAUUGGGUUUCGAUGUUGCAUGCACAGGAUAGAUGGGACACAGGGAAACAAGUGCUUUGGCAUUUGUGGAGUGGCCGUUGGGAUACCAUCCUUGCGAUAUUGGAAUUCUAACCUGCGCCUUUGAAUCAAGGCGGGGGACAUUGUUAGGUGGGCAGUUUGACUGGGGCGGUCGCCUCCUAAAGAGUAACGGAGGCGUUCAAAGGUUCGCUCAGCUUGAACGGAAAUCAAGCAAAAGAGUGCAAACGCAGAAGCGAGCCUAACUGCGAGACUGACGGGUCGAGCAGUAACGAAAGUUGGAGUUAGUGAUCCGGUGGUAUGUGAGUGGAAAUGCCAUCGCUCAACGGAUAAAAGUUACCCUGGGGAUAACAGGCUGAUCUCCCCCAAGAGUCCACAUCGACGGGGAGGUUUGGCACCUCGAUGUCGGCUCAUCGCAUCCUGGGGCUGUAUUCGGUCCCAAGGGUUUGGCUGUUCGCCAAUUAAAGCGGUACGCGAGCUGGGUUCAGAACGUCGUGAGACAGUUCGGUCCCUAUCUGUCGUGGGCGCAGGAUAUUUGAUGGGAGCUGUUCCUAGUACGAGAGGACCGGAGCGGACGUACCUCUGGCGCACCAGUUGUUCUGCCAAGGGCAUAGCUGGGCAACUAUGUACGGAUCGGAUAAACGCUGAAAGCAUCUAAGCGUGAAGCCGACCCAAAGAUAAGAUAUCCCAUUGUUUCAAACAAGUAAGACCCCUUGAAGACUACAAGGUUGAUAGGCACGAUGUGUAAGUGGAGCGAUCCAUUCAGCAAGCGUGUACUAAUAGGUCGAGGGCUUGACCAC
This 2833-nucleotide ribosomal RNA is filed under the name Faecalibacterium prausnitzii M21/2. Its description in RNAcentral is "bacterial LSU rRNA". It matches the Rfam family "Bacterial large subunit ribosomal RNA". Lineage: Bacteria; Bacillati; Bacillota; Clostridia; Eubacteriales; Oscillospiraceae. The record is from RNAcentral.